Molecule: unclassified non-coding RNA, 24 nt
Filed under: Mus musculus (house mouse)
Lineage: Eukaryota; Metazoa; Chordata; Mammalia; Rodentia; Muridae
Description: oocyte_clustered_small_RNA1157
Source: RNAcentral
UGCUCCCUGACCUGCUUGAUUUAC